Molecule: ribosomal RNA, 253 nt
Filed under: uncultured bacterium
Lineage: Bacteria
Description: partial 16S ribosomal RNA
Rfam family: Bacterial small subunit ribosomal RNA
Source: RNAcentral
UACAGAGGUCCCGAGCGUUGUUCGGAUUCAUUGGGCGUAAAGGGUGCGUAGGCGGCGGGGUAAGUUUGAUGUGAAAUCCCGGGGCUCAACCCUGGAAUUGCAUUGAAUACUACCUUGCUAGAGUACCGGAGAGGAAACUGGAAUUUACGGUGUAGCAGUGAAAUGCGUAGAGAUCGUAAGGAAGACCAGUGGCGAAGGCGAGUUUCUGGACACAUAUUGACGCUGAGGUGCGAAAGCGUGGGGAGCAAACAGG